This 77-nucleotide transfer RNA is filed under the name candidate division TM6 bacterium RIFCSPHIGHO2_12_FULL_32_22. Its description in RNAcentral is "tRNA-Trp". It matches the Rfam family "tRNA". From Rfam's summary of the family: Transfer RNA (tRNA) molecules are approximately 80 nucleotides in length. Their secondary structure includes four short double-helical elements and three loops (D, anti-codon, and T loops). RNAcentral also lists the same sequence under 4 other names. The record is from RNAcentral.
AGGCCAGUAGCUCGAAUUGGUAGAGCGGCAGACUCCAAAUCUGAUGGUUGGGGGUUCGAGUCCCUCCUGGCCUGCCA